Molecule: long non-coding RNA, 4229 nt
Filed under: Gallus gallus (chicken)
Lineage: Eukaryota; Metazoa; Chordata; Aves; Galliformes; Phasianidae
Source: RNAcentral
CCCAGAGCCACAUCCAGCCUGGCCUUGAAUGCCUUCAGGGAUGGGGUAUCCACAACAUCUCUGGGCAACCUGUUCCAGUGUGUCACCACCCUCUGAGUGAAAAACUUCCUCCUAGUAUCUAACCUAAAGCUCCCCUGUCUCAGUUUAAAACCAUCCCCCCUUGUCCUGUCACUAUCCACCCUUGUAAACAUGUAACGCAAACACAUAAUUUAUGACAUCUGUCUUCACAUGUCCUGAUUUCACAGCUUAGUUUAUGUCUUCUGUGAUCUGACUCCAUUAUCUUAAUACCACUGUUAUAUUUUUGAAAUCUUUUAUGACUAUUCUUUUUCCCCAAGGACCUGUUUCUUUCUGAUGGUUUUGCACACUUGCAUUCCUGGUAAUUACUUUAUUUUUAAGGCAGAAACCCUAGUUAUGGGAAGCAACUGAAUGCUGUGUUGAACAAUGUCGAAACAGAUUUUUAUAUGGUGUUGAAGACAUUUUAUAAUGGGUGGAGUACUUCAAAAAUCUGCAGGGCGUGAGAAAUGCAGUGCUUGCAAAUAUUUCUAUAAUAAAGUUUGAUAAAUUACCUGGAACGCUAAAUAGGAAUUUCACACAGGUGUUGUCAGUUCUUUCAUUCUGAUACUGAUUUGUUGUAAAAUGAGGAGGUAUUGUUAUGUGCUAGGCCCGCACCUGACCUUAAGUCUAACCCCAAACCUCUUUGUGAUCCCACCAUGUACAUGCGCGUCCACCCUUGGGAGCUGGCUUAUGGCAAGCCUGGGGGUGAAGCUUGGAGUAGACAGGAUGUCAGGGCUCUUACCCUGUCUCAUCAAAUGGACUUGUGCACACAGCAGCCUGAAAAACAUAUAAAGGACCCUUUUUGUCCUGCGAAUAUUUCCUGCAGCAGCUCGUACAUUUUGGUACUUUCCUUGGCUUCCUUUAAACUCAGCAUUGAGCUAAAAGCAUAGAGCUCUGCUAACUUCAGCAGAAUUGUUUGUAAACACAAGGCUUGAAGGAGCUUCUCUAAGAACUCUUGUUGUUAUUGGAUAUGGCGUGUGAAAAAUGAAAGGGUGAUUUAUGGCACUGAAUAUAAUCCAUUCAUUCUCCAGCAUCCGUGCAGAAGCCUUUCAUGAUUUUCCACGAUGUUUCUAAGCGGCAAAAGUCACACCCAGACACAUUUUUCCAGCUAAAUAGUGACUUGGUUGCAGGCACACAGAUAAUGUCCUAAUAUUGCAGUUUAGGAGACCGCCUGGCUUGCUUGCCCUAUCACUUACACAGAGUAACUUUUGUUUUUCCAGCCUGGUACUCUUGCUUUCAGGCACCUGGGCAGAUUAACGUGAGCCUUUGUACGACUGUCCCAGGAAUGUUACCUUACAGGGCAUGCUCAUAGGGAAACUUUCAACCUAGGGGAUGCAGACUGCGCUCGGGGAAAAUUAGUUCAUUGCCAAUUAAAAUAGAUUUGGAUGGUGAGAAACAAAACCCAAACUUAACACACCACUUUCUCCCUGCCGUCCCUUUUUCCCUGGCUUGCUUUCUCUCCUUCAUCCCCAACUUCUCUGCCUCCCCCCAGAAAGUGGCACAGGGGCUGAGGGCAUUUUUAUCACGAGCUGUAACAGCUCUUCUCUGCACCUCCAGUUUGACCAGUUUGAGUCAGUUUGACUGAUCUGUGCUGGUGCAGAAUUUAGUCUAAUAUGUUCCUCUGUUUUAGUGCAUCCCCGAGAUGUGUUUUUCCUUGCUCCACGAGGUCUCAUGCAGCCUCUGUUGCUGUUGUUCUGUGGAGUUUUUUGGGUUUUGGUUUUUUGUUUUUUGUUUUGGCUUUCAGUGUUAUAUUCGUUGCUUCAGUUUGGAUUCUAACCUAAGUGUGUUAUUUGCAUGUGUGAACGUGAAAGGGAAGACCUUCAUACUUAGAAGGUCUGUGGUCUAGAAUGGACUAUGAAGGUCCGUUUUAUUUUUUUUCAGAGACUUUCCACUUACUUUUAUUUCUGGUCAUUUCUAUUAAUAUAACAUAAUAGAAUAUAUUAAUAUAUAUUUUUAAUCAAUAUAACCAAAUAUGGAAUGCUCUUUUUCAACUUCGUCCUCAGCUGACUCCCUCUUCCUCUGCAGGACAACACACAUUCAAGAUGUUUUGUUGUCAACCUAAAUUCUUUGCAACUUGUAAUUACAGUAGGAAUUUUAAUCCACUCUAAUGUGGAUAAAGUGGUAAUGGAUGUUUAAUAAACUAAUGACAGUCUACGGAACUGGGCCUAGCAAAGUAAAAGCCAUAAAAAUUUGGAGGAACUGAGGUGGAACUUCAGAGCUUCUCCACAGUGGAUGGAAAAGUCAGUUCUGACAGUGGUGCUAAAGCUGAGGAGGUGGUUUGAGAGCUUGGGAGAGGACGAUGCAUCCUGAAGUGUUGGAAAAGGAGGAGUAGAGGGUGAGAACAAGGGGAAGACAAGUGAUUUUCUCUCCCCAUCAUUUCCACCGACUAUUCUGAUCGUGGGAAUGAACGACCUCUCCAGGCCUGGUUUCUCUUCAGAGCCCAGUUACCGCUGCAUGGGCUGUCCUUCUUUGUGAGCAUUCUCCCUGCACGCUUUUUGUGGCAGCAGUAGCAAAAGUAGCAAUUCUGGUGGGCAGAAGCAAACCAAUUGAUUGGGUUGCUCAGGGAAGAGGAGCAGGUAGUGUAUUUGCUCUCACAUUGCUGGACGUGUUUUCAUGUACUAACAGGGUAGCUUUGUCUGUGCCAGCCUGACCUGGAGAAGUGCUUAUGGACGGGCCGGCAUGGAGGGAAAGCAGCUGCUGGUGGCUGUGGUGCCUUCCCCACAUGCCCUGUAGGCAGGCUGCAUGGUUUUGCUCAUUGCUCCAGUUCUGGCUGCUUCAUUUGCUGAACUGUGCUGGGGUUAAUGAGGCUGUGGUGAGGUGAGCCAGGGCUGUGCUGGGGGCUGGAUGCUCUGAUCCUCCAGGUUUGCUUUCUGUCAUUUACUGGAGAUUUCCACGGGGUGCUCUGCUUGUGGGGAUGAGUAGCUUACCUUUAUGGAUGCAGUUGAGUAAAUGUGUUACAGUUCUCCCAAACACGGAGAUAACGUCUAACACGUAGUUCUAAAUAACAGGUAGUUCUUGAUCUGCUGUAGCGUUUCCAGUGACUCACUGCUUCUUUUCUUUCCUCCUCUUGCAGUAAUUACAGAAGAGUGUUGCAGUUUCUGACUCAGAGGGAAGCUUCAUUCCAAGGCUUCUGGCCAUGCUGGAGUUCCAGCUCUUGCAGCUGUAUGAAGCGAGUUGUGGGGACUGCAUGGUUGCAGGUGGAGACUGAGCUGAAAAUAAUGCAGGCACAGCACAUAUCCUGAACAGUGAUAGCAAGACAUUAAAAGGAGGAUUUUCUUUGGAUUAGCAGACAGAAACUCGGUUGCCAAAAUCUUGGCUAUGAAUCUUGGCUAUGACUCUUGUGUCUCUCACACUGGCUGCUUAAAUGAAAGACAUCUCAAGGGACACAUCUGAUGGCCUCUCUACCAGGCUGGACUAGGAAACUACAGAGUGAAAAAGUGUGCUCCACCCAGAUCUGUUGUAGUUUCGUAGCUUUUGAAGGGAAAUGGUUUUCCUGCAGACCCAUAGGAACACUGGACAUGAGCCUUAUGGGGCAGGCAUGGGGAUAGGUCUCAAAUGUGUGUCAUAUUGUGGGAUGGGAACUGUGGGGCAAGGUUUCAUGUGUUGCCUCUUCUAGCUCCAUGAACACCAUUGUUUCUCCUUCUGGGCAGAAAUUCAACAGAUAUUGCAAGCUAGUGCAUUGUGUACCCAUGGACCAACUGCAGCUGGCAUGACCGCUUGGGGUGCAGCAGCACAGCAGCAGUGACGUGCUGCCAAAUGCGACCUGACAGCCCCACCAUGGGGACACAUGGGGCUGCAGGGGAGGGAAGCAUGAGUGGACCACAGGGCUCGAGUCUCCUCUUUGCCUUGUGAGAUGUCAGAGCCAACAGGCGCACAGACGAGCCUUGGUCCCCUGUUGUUUUCACAUUCACACAGCCUCCAUUUGUAAAGUGACCUCUUAGAUUUGGUGGUGCUGCAUUUUCACUUUGUGCUGGUGCAAGUGGCUGUGUGCAGCUGGCCACCAGGCCUCUGCUUGUCAGAAAUGUGUGCGAAGGUCUUCUUGCCAUCAGUUAAGUGUAUUCAGAUGCAAGUCUGUGAAAUUCAGGCCGUAUUUCUGUGAGGGGCACCAUUCCAUUGGUGCUUCUCUAAGGUUAGAAAUUUAUUCCCCAAGCUCUGGGGACAUGGUUAUUCUGAGC